UAUAUAUAUAUAUAUAUAUAUAUAUAUAUAUAUAUAGCUGUCUUCAGUUGCAACUUUGAUAUCAAGCAAUAGCACCCUCUAAAAUUUGAUUAAGAUCUGAUGCCUAUUUAUUCACACACAAAAAAAAAGAAAAAAAAAAGAGAUUAAUUAAUUAGAUGAUGGUGAUAUUAGUUAGUUAGGUUGGCUAUAAAAAUUAUGAAAAAUCAUCGGAUCAUCAAGAGCACGAUAUUCAACCAAUUAUCUGUAAAAUUAAUCCCAAUAUAUAUCAAAAUUAAUUAAGGGAUAUAUAAAUAUAAAGAAUGAAUUGAACAAGUCUGAAAACAUCAUUUAAAAACUUUUUUAAAUCUAAAACCAAGAACUUUAACAAAAUCCAAAUAAAUGAGAUAUACAUGUACCAAAAAUGGAAAUAUUCCGGCCCUCCAAUGAAUAAUAGUACUGGUGAAUAAUUAAGCCAAGAGGAAGCUAGGGCUGGAGAGGAGAAUUGAAGAACAAAUUAAUAAGAGGAGAGAGAAAUAUAAGGAAGAAAGAGAAAGGAAGAAGAAAGUAUGAGUAGGAGGGGUUUGAGUUAUAAAACCAGCGCUGGUAGCUUUAACCAUGAAAAUCACCAGAAAUUCCUCCACUUUAACUGAAGCCAGUGAGAUAAAGAAAAAGUUGUCUC
Molecule: long non-coding RNA, 658 nt
Filed under: Panax ginseng (ginseng)
Lineage: Eukaryota; Viridiplantae; Streptophyta; Magnoliopsida; Apiales; Araliaceae
Description: long non-coding RNA (PGIN_LNC017950)
Source: RNAcentral